RNAcentral lists this ribosomal RNA (481 nucleotides) under uncultured bacterium. RNAcentral describes it as "partial 16S ribosomal RNA". It matches the Rfam family "Bacterial small subunit ribosomal RNA", at positions 29 to 523 of the family's 1533-position model. The record is from RNAcentral.
AACGAACGCUGGCGGCAGGCUUAACACAUGCAAGUCGAACGAUUAAGACUCCCUUCGGGGAGUGUAUAAAGUGGCGCACGGGUGAGUAACACGUAAGUAAUCUACCUUCGAGUGGGGAAUAACGUCCGGAAACGGACGCUAAUACCGCAUAAUGCAGCGGCAUCUAAUGAUGACAGUUGUUAAAGAUUUAUCGCUUGAAGAGGAGCUUGCGGCAGAUUAGCUAGUUGGUAAGGUAAUGGCUUACCAAGGCUACGAUCUGUAACCGGUCUAAGAGGACGGUCGGUCACACUGACACUGAAUAACGGGUCAGACUCCUACGGGAGGCAGCAGUCGGGAAUUUUGGGCAAUGGGCGAAAGCCUGACCCAGCAACGCCGCGUGAAGGAUGAAGUAUUUCGGUAUGUAAACUUCGAAAGAAUGGGAAGAAUAAAUGACGGUACCAUUUAUAAGCUCCGGCUAACUACGUGCCAGCCGCCGCCGUAA